CGUGUAGGCGGAUUGAUAAGUCAGAGGUGAAAUCCCACAGCUUAACUGUGGAACUGCCUUUGAAACUGUUAGUCUUGAGUUAUAUGGAAGUAGAUAGAAUGUGUAGUGUAGCGGUGAAAUGCAUAGAGAUUACACAGAAUACCGAUUGCGAAGGCAGUCUACUACGUAUAUACUGACGCUAAUGGACGAAAGCGUGGGGAGCGAACAGGAUUAGAUACCCUGGUAGUCC
This 229-nucleotide ribosomal RNA is filed under the name uncultured bacterium. RNAcentral's name for it is "partial 16S ribosomal RNA". It matches the Rfam family "Bacterial small subunit ribosomal RNA", at positions 568 to 796 of the family's 1533-position model. The record is from RNAcentral.